This 146-nucleotide ribosomal RNA is filed under the name Xenopus laevis (African clawed frog). Its description in RNAcentral is "5.8S ribosomal RNA". The stretch from base 29 to 146 matches the Rfam family "5.8S ribosomal RNA", at positions 37 to 154 of the family's 154-position model. From Rfam's summary of the family: 5.8S ribosomal RNA (5.8S rRNA) is a component of the large subunit of the eukaryotic ribosome. It is transcribed by RNA polymerase I as part of the 45S precursor that also contains 18S and 28S rRNA. Functionally, it is thought that 5.8S rRNA may be involved in ribosome translocation. The record is from Rfam by way of RNAcentral. Lineage: Eukaryota; Metazoa; Chordata; Amphibia; Anura; Pipidae.
CACCUCACCCUACUGAUACCUUUGUGUGUGAAGAACGCAGCUAGCUGCGAGAAUUAGUGUGAAUUGCAGGACACAUUGAUCAUCGACACUUCGAACGCACCUUGCGGCCCCGGGUUCCUCCCGGGGCCACGCCUGUCUGAGGGUCG